GACGAACGCUGGCGGCGUGCUUAACACAUGCAAGUCGAACGGAAAGGCCCUGCUUUUGUGGGGUGCUCGAGUGGCGAACGGGUGAGUAACACGUGAGUAACCUGCCCUUGACUUUGGGAUAACUUCAGGAAACUGGGGCUAAUACCGGAUAGGAGCUCCUGCUGCAUGGUGGGGGUUGGAAAGUUUCGGCGGUUGGGGAUGGACUCGCGGCUUAUCAGCUUGUUGGUGGGGUAGUGGCUUACCAAGGCUUUGACGGGUAGCCGGCCUGAGAGGGUGACCGGCCACAUUGGGACUGAGAUACGGCCCAGACUCCUACGGGAGGCAGCAGUGGGGAAUAUUGCACAAUGGGCGGAAGCCUGAUGCAGCAACGCCGCGUGCGGGAUGACGGCCUUCGGGUUGUAAACCGCUUUCGCCUGUGACGAAGCGUGAGUGACGGUAAUGGGUAAAGAAGCACCGGCUAACUACGUGCCAGCAGCCGCGGUGAUACGUAGGGUGCGAGCGUUGUCCGGAUUUAUUGGGCGUAAAGGGCUCGUAGGUGGUUGAUCGCGUCGGAAGUGUAAUCUUGGGGCUUAACCCUGAGCGUGCUUUCGAUACGGGUUGACUUGAGGAACGUAGGGGAGAAUGGAAUUCCUGGUGGAGCGGUGGAAUGCGCAGAUAUCAGGAGGAACACCAGUGGCGAAGGCGGUUCUCUGGGCCUUUCCUGACGCUGAGGAGCGAAAGCGUGGGGAGCGAACAGGCUUAGAUACCCUGGUAGUCCACGCUGUAAACGGUGGGUACUAGGUGUGGGGUCCAUUCCACGGGUUCCGUGCCGUAGCUAACGCUUUAAGUACCCCGCCUGGGGAGUACGGCCGUAAGGCUAAAACUCAAAGGAAUUGACGGGGCCCCGCACAAGCGGCGGAGCAUGCGGAUUAAUUCGAUGCAACGCGUAGAACCUUACCUGGGUUUGACAUGGAUCGGGAGUGCUCAGAGAUGGGUGUGCCUCUUUUGGGGUCGGUUCACAGGUGGUGCAUGGCUGUCGUCAGCUCGUGUCGUGAGAUGUUGGGUUAAGUCCCGCAACGAGCGCAACCCUUGUUCACUGUUGCCAGCACGUUAUGGUGGGGACUCAGUGGAGACCGCCGGGGUCAACUCGGAGGAAGGUGGGGAUGACGUCAAGUCAUCAUGCCCCUUAUGUCCAGGGCUUCACGCAUGCUACAAUGGCUGGUACAGAGAGUGGCGAGCCUGUGAGGGUGAGCGAAUCUCGGAAAGCCGGUCUCAGUUCGGAUUGGGGUCUGCAACUCGACCUCAUGAAGUCGGAGUCGCUAGUAAUCGCAGAUCAGCAACGCUGCGGUGAAUACGUUCCCGGG
RNAcentral lists this ribosomal RNA (1343 nucleotides) under uncultured bacterium. RNAcentral's name for it is "16S ribosomal RNA". It matches the Rfam family "Bacterial small subunit ribosomal RNA", at positions 28 to 1378 of the family's 1533-position model. The record is from RNAcentral.